Molecule: ribosomal RNA, 253 nt
Filed under: uncultured bacterium
Lineage: Bacteria
Description: partial 16S ribosomal RNA
Rfam family: Bacterial small subunit ribosomal RNA
Source: RNAcentral
UACGUAGGGUGCAAGCGUUAUUCGGAAUUACUGGGCGUAAAGCGCACGUAGGCGGCUUUGUAAGUUAGAGGUGAAAGCCCGGAGCUUAACUCCGGAACUGCCUUUAAGACUGCAUCGCUCGAAUCAUGGAGAGGUCAGUGGAAUUCCGAGUGUAGAGGUGAAAUUCGUAGAUAUUCGGAAGAACACCAGUGGCGAAGGCGACUGACUGGACAUGUAUUGACGCUGAGGUGCGAAAGCGUGGGGAGCAAACAGG